Molecule: ribosomal RNA, 523 nt
Filed under: Escherichia coli
Lineage: Bacteria; Pseudomonadati; Pseudomonadota; Gammaproteobacteria; Enterobacterales; Enterobacteriaceae
Description: partial 23S ribosomal RNA
Rfam family: Bacterial large subunit ribosomal RNA
Source: RNAcentral
AUAAUGGGUCAGCGACUUAUAUUCUGUAGCAAGGUUAACCGAAUAGGGGAGCCGAAGGGAAACCGAGUCUUAACUGGGCGUUAAGUUGCAGGGUAUAGACCCGAAACCCGGUGAUCUAGCCAUGGGCAGGUUGAAGGUUGGGUAACACUAACUGGAGGACCGAACCGACUAAUGUUGAAAAAUUAGCGGAUGACUUGUGGCUGGGGGUGAAAGGCCAAUCAAACCGGGAGAUAGCUGGUUCUCCCCGAAAGCUAUUUAGGUAGCGCCUCGUGAAUUCAUCUCCGGGGGUAGAGCACUGUUUCGGCAAGGGGGUCAUCCCGACUUACCAACCCGAUGCAAACUGCGAAUACCGGAGAAUGUUAUCACGGGAGACACACGGCGGGUGCUAACGUCCGUCGUGAAGAGGGAAACAACCCAGACCGCCAGCUAAGGUCCCAAAGUCAUGGUUAAGUGGGAAACGAUGUGGGAAGGCCCAGACAGCCAGGAUGUUGGCUUAGAAGCAGCCAUCAUUUAAAGAAAGCGU